RNAcentral lists this ribosomal RNA (495 nucleotides) under uncultured bacterium. Its description in RNAcentral is "bacterial SSU rRNA". It matches the Rfam family "Bacterial small subunit ribosomal RNA", at positions 29 to 507 of the family's 1533-position model. The record is from RNAcentral.
AUGAACGCUGGCGGCGUGCCUAAUACAUGCAAGUCGAACGCGCAGCGGAAGGUGCUUGCACCUUCAAGCGAGUGGCGAACGGGUGAGUAACACGUGGAUAACCUGCCUCAAGGCUGGGGAUAACAUUUGGAAACAGAUGCUAAUACCGAAUAAAACUUAGUAUCGCAUGAUACAAAGUUGAAAGGCGCUACGGCGUCACCUAGAGAUGGGUCCGCGGUGCAUUAGUUAGUUGGUGGGGUAAAGGCCUACCAAGACAAUGAUGCAUAGCCGAGUUGAGAGACUGAUCGGCCACAUUGGGACUGAGACACGGCCCAAACUCCUACGGGAGGCUGCAGUAGGGAAUCUUCCACAAUGGGCGAAAGCCUGAUGGAGCAACGCCGCGUGUGUGAUGAAGGCUUUAGGGUCGUAAAGCACUGUUGUAUGGGAAGAAAUGCUAGAAUAGGGAAUGAUUCUAGUUCGACGGUACCAUACCAGAAAGGGACGGCUAAAUACGUG